GUUCAGAACGUCGUGAGACAGUUCGGUCCCUAUCCGUCGUGGGCGUAGGAAAUUUGAGAGGAGCUGUCCUUAGUACGAGAGGACCGGGAUGGACAUACCUCUGGUGUACCAGUUGUCGUGCCAACGGCAUCGCUGGGUAGCUAUGUAUGGACGGGAUAAGUGCUGAAAGCAUCUAAGCAUGAAGCCCCCCUCAAGAUGAGAUUUCCCAACUUCGGUUAUAAGAUCCCUCAAAGAUGAUGAGGUUAAUAGGUUCGAGGUGGAAGCAUAGCGAUAUGUGCAGCUGACGAAUACUAAUCGAUCGAAGACUUAAUC
This 312-nucleotide ribosomal RNA is filed under the name Staphylococcus saprophyticus. Its description in RNAcentral is "partial 23S ribosomal RNA". It matches the Rfam family "Bacterial large subunit ribosomal RNA", at positions 2609 to 2925 of the family's 2925-position model. The record is from RNAcentral. Lineage: Bacteria; Bacillati; Bacillota; Bacilli; Caryophanales; Staphylococcaceae.